Molecule: long non-coding RNA, 1233 nt
Organism: Oreochromis niloticus (Nile tilapia)
Lineage: Eukaryota; Metazoa; Chordata; Actinopteri; Cichliformes; Cichlidae
Exons: 2
Source: RefSeq, a predicted model, not a curated record
CUCUCUCUUAUCUCACCUUUCACUUAUCACUUUCUGCACAUAUACGCUGAGUAAAAUAAGUUUUGAACACGUCACCAAAUUUACAUGAAAUUCACACUCGAUGUAGGUAACCACCCAUCCAGUCCACACAUGCAAAGAAAUCAAACCAUUGAUAUCCAUAAAUUAAGCUAUAUGUAAUAAUAAGAGGAAAAGUAUUGAACAUAUAGAACGGAAGGUGCAAAAAGGCAUGGAAGUCAUGCCACCAGCUGAAAUCUAUCAGCAAUUACAAAGCAAUCCUGCCCCCUAGUGCAAAUUAAUGUCAGCUGGUUCUAUUCUAACUGACAGCCUAUAAAAAGUUGUCUCAUUAACAAGGUGUCACACAAGAAACAUCUCAUGAUGGAUAAAACCAAUCCAUCAGAAUUACUAAACUUCUGCUUUUUAAAGGAGUCAGUGGAGUCUAGACAGCGUAAAGACAACGCCAGGGAGUUCCACAGCCUUGGUCCUAGUGCCUGAAAAGCCCGAUCCCCAUGUGUUUUAAACCUAGUAUGUUUCAGAUCCAACAUAACCAGAACGGUUAUGUUGGAUCUGAAGGUUCCAGUGAGCACUGUUGGGGCAGGAGAGAACAUAAUUUCACCAUAAACCGGCCAGGACCAGCUGCUCCCCGCCAGUUUUCAAACAGGGGAGUGAAAAGAAUUAUCAGAAGAGUUGUCCAAAAGCAAAGGAGCACUUGCGAAGAGCUACAAAAAGACGUGGAAUCAGCUCAUCUGCCAUGGCCUGUAUGCACGCUCACCAUACAAGACUCCAUUGCUGAAGAAAAAGCAUGCUAAAGCACGUUUAAAGUUUGCUGAACAACAUUUAGACAAGAAAUACUGGCAGAAUAUACUCUGGUCAGUAGAGACCAAAACUGAACUGAUGCCUUAAUACACGCCAUGUCUGGAGGUCAAAAGGCACUGCAUACCACCCCAAAAACAAUAUACCAGCAGUGAAGUCUGGAGUUGGGAACAUCACAGUAUGGGGCUGUUUUUCGUCAUGUGGCACUGUAAUGUUUCAUAUAAAUGGAGGAAGAUGAAUGGAAAAAUGUUCUGCUAGCAUCUACCAGGAUAUUGAAGAUGAAAUGAGGACCUUUCAGCAAGACGAUGAUCCCAAACACAAAGCCAAAGAAGCUGCUAGAAUGACACAGCCAAUCACCUGACCUGAAUCUAAUUGAAAAUCUAUAGAUAUAAUUAAAGUUUAGAGUUCAUAGCAGGGCUCACA